RNA transcript from Acanthochromis polyacanthus (spiny chromis), 1227 nucleotides. It is a transcript of the gene named nucleolar protein 7, with no coding region annotated. The record is from RefSeq and is a predicted model, not a curated record. The transcript has 8 exons. Lineage: Eukaryota; Metazoa; Chordata; Actinopteri; Pomacentridae.
AUGGUGUGGCGCGGCCUGAUGACGUAGAUUUAGUGGCAAACAUGGCGAAGAAGAAGCAACGUGGGAAAGAAGCUUUAUCUGCCGGAGAAAAAACGGCUAAAAACCUGGACGUGGUUCUGGAGUCGAGCGACGACGAGGCUCCGGAGGAGGUGACCUUCCAGGACUCCAGGCUGGAGGCUCUCCGGAGGCUGAAGGAGGCGCUGGACACGGAAAGGAGAGAGAAGGAGCUGCUGAAGGAGAAGAGGAGGAAGAGACAGGAGCUCUUCCAGGAGCAGAAGAAGAGAAAACUGUUCCCGGCUGAAGCGUUGGAGGAAAUCCACUCGUCUGCUCUGAAGAAGCAGAAACAGUCUGAAGAUGAAGCUGGAGAAGAGAAGGAGACGACGAAGAAGAAGAAGAAGACGACGAAAUCUGCACAUUCUAGAACGCUGAAGGGAAGCUACACCGUCAGGACCAUGGAGGAUCAAACGUCGACGUUCUUCCAGCAGCAGGCGGCCGAAGAGUUCCUCCAGUCCAGACUGUAUGGAGCUGGAAGCUGCAGAACCACCAGUAACGAGCUGCUGUCGCUCCAGAACAAGAAGGGAACCAAUCAGAGCGCAGCCUUGCAGUUUGUGAGGAAGGACUGGGGUAGGUCCAGUUAGAACCUCUAGACCACGGUUCAGAUCAUCGGUUUGACCAGGUUCACAUCCAGGUGUUUAUUCAGCUUUAGACGACCAAAUCUGAAAUCACAACAUCUGGUUCUUCAUCCACAGUAACUUUAUCAAUGAUCAGAGUUCUAUCUUCAGACUGGGAAUAUUUCCAGAGUUCCAGGUCCUUGAAGUUCAUAGAGGAGAACGUUCUCCAGUUGUCGGUAGGUCUACUUUAGAACUUUCUCCAGUUGUCAGUAGGUCUACUUUAGAACUUUCUCCAGUUGUCGGUAGGUCUACUCUAGAACUUUCUCCAGUUGUCAGUAGGUCUACUUUAGAACUUUCUCCAGUUGUCGGUAGGUCUACUCUAGAACUUUCUCCAGUUGUCGGUAGGUCUACUCUAGAACUUUCUCCGGGGGACAUUCUCCUUUAUGGACUUCAAGGACCUGGAACUCUGGAAAUAUUCCCAGUCUGAAGGUAGAACUCUGAUCAUUGAUAAAGUUACUGAUUCCUCUGUUCUCUGGGUGCAAAUUGAUUCUCAUUUGGUUUUAAUUAAGGAGUUAAUAAUAAUUCAGAAGAAGUUCAUGUUUGAACACUUCGUCUC